AUGAAUUUUCAUGUUUUUUGUGUCCCACAUCAUGUCUCAGAGCCUAUUAAAAGCAUUACCAAGUGUCCACAUAAUCAUCUGAAGAACCUGCAUAUUACAGGAUUUUCUGGAACAACAACACAACUUGAAUUUCUAGUGCAUGUUGUUGAAAGUGCCCAUGCCCUGGAGAUUUUGACGAUUAAUGGACCUAACAUAGCUCGCCGUGAUGAUAAAUGGCUAAUAAGAUUCCGUUCCCUAGUUCGAGAACUGGAGAGAAAAUAUCUUCAUGAAAUAAUUUCACCAAAUGUGAAGCUCUCCUUUUUACCCCGGAAUUAUAAAAUGCUGGAAGGACAAAAACACAUGAGUUUUCUGGAAGAAAUCGAUGCCGCCAUAUUAUAUUAUGCAACUCAUAAAUGA
Molecule: ribosomal RNA, 396 nt
Filed under: Triticum aestivum (bread wheat)
Lineage: Eukaryota; Viridiplantae; Streptophyta; Magnoliopsida; Poales; Poaceae
Description: partial small subunit ribosomal RNA
Source: RNAcentral